Cyprinus carpio carpio is the source of this 1741-nucleotide long non-coding RNA. The record is from Ensembl. Lineage: Eukaryota; Metazoa; Chordata; Actinopteri; Cypriniformes; Cyprinidae.
CUUUGAUCCAGCACGCCGGCAUGGGACUCAUUUCCAGCUCUGCCACACUGAUGCGACUCAGUGGGUUCGACUUGACCUCGUGGCUCCUCUGGGCCCCUCCGGCCGCAGUUGACGAGACCCGGCUCCCUCCUCCUCUCCAUCCUGAACACCUCCAAUACCUCGCUCUAAUCAAACCGCUCUGCUCUCCGCACCCCUGCCUUUGAUCUGCAUAAUAUGCCUCCUCCUCCUCUUCAUCUCCCUUCUCCAUUUAUCACAUCAUGUGUGAAUGCAGAACAUCAGUGAAAUGUUGUAGAAGGUUCGCCAUAGUCUCCUGUGUACAACAUGCCCAUGCCAAGAUCCUGCUGCUGUACCUUUAGCCGUGACAAGUCGGCCUCUGCACCAGCUGUGCCCAUGGGGCGUCAUCAGUCGUAACAAGAGUCGGUGUGCCCGCUUCAGCGCAACCCCAUUGUGGUGUUAGAGGAUAAUAACACUCUGCUUCCUUUUGUCAGUGUGUUUUGCUGGAUGAUAAACAGAGGGGAUGAAGGACCGGCAGAGGAGCUCAGGCUCAAAGAGAUUUACUAGAGGCAAAAAAAUAAAAAAACUGUAGCUUCCUCAAAGGAAUUACUCAAGACUGAAGAAAAAAAAAAGAAAAAAACUAUUGGAUUUUGAAAAGGAGUGGCAUCAGCAGGUGGAGAGACAGACAUGGUGGAACCACAGGCGGAGGGUGAACCAGCUGCAGGGGAAAGCUAUGAAGUCUACGAGGUGGGCAUGCGAUUCUGCAAGGGAUAAGAUUGAAGAAAAAUAAUUCCCAGGAAGCACAGGAAGAGAUGGAGGAGGAAACAUUACAGCAAACCUCUUGCAAGGAGUUCUCAAAGAAUAAAAAUAAACUUUAAGACGAUAAACAGAGAAACCCUGCAGAAAGAAUUGAGAUCGAGACUUUUUUGACCCUUCAUUGACUUCUUUUAGGUGUUUCAAUGAGAACUUGGGAAACACUAAAUUUGGCCUCACAGAAAAAGGUUCAGUCCAAAUCUUUUGAUACCAGUAGGUGCUCCAUGUGAAAGUAAUCUUGAAUGAUGAAUGAAGGCCCAGGCAGAAGUCUGAAUUUUAAGAGCAGAAAUCUCCAGCCCGAAGUCUUGCUAUGUCCAGAAAGUCAUCCGUAUGGAACACCCUGAAGAGGCAAUGGACCAGCUAACAGAAGAGCUCCAAGCAGCCCUGGACAAUCUGAAGAGCCAGACGGGGAAAAUACACCAGUGCGAGGAAAAAAUUGAGAGAUUAAGAGAGAAAAUGGACAGCCACCAAAAAUGGUGCUGGCAGGCUCCGUCUUUCAGAGAGGAGUAUGAGGCAUCAGCAUAUAGCAGCCCUAAAACUGGUGGUCCAGCUGCACAGGAAGAUCCCGGAAGGGCCAAGUUCACACCGAUCAGUCUUAGUACCAUGAUGAUGGCCACAGCACAACCACAUGGACCUAAAACAACUAGAGAGGCGCUUUCAAGCCAAGAGGUUUAAUAUCAUAAAAAAUCAGUGGUGUCAGAGGACUGGGCAGAAUUAUGAAAGCAUUAUGAAAGACCAGACCAGAGCCUCAGGCAGUUCUGCACCACCCAGCUCCAGCUCACAUUUCACAGUUACUCUUGACUGGAAACCCUGUGUGAUUCCAUCCGUCUCAACUUACCGGAACUACCUACAGAGUUACAUCUCACCUUACCGCACCCCUGCCUCCAGCUGAGCCGCCCCUCUUCCUGUAGCCUCCCGACUUCUUUCUUUCUGC